GGUCCCGUAGCUCAAUCGGAUAGAGCAAGCGCCUUCUAAGCGCUAGGCUGCGUGUUCGAGUCACGCCGGGAUCG
This 74-nucleotide transfer RNA is filed under the name Paracoccus lutimaris. It matches the Rfam family "tRNA". Rfam says of the family: Transfer RNA (tRNA) molecules are approximately 80 nucleotides in length. Their secondary structure includes four short double-helical elements and three loops (D, anti-codon, and T loops). The record is from Rfam by way of RNAcentral. Lineage: Bacteria; Pseudomonadati; Pseudomonadota; Alphaproteobacteria; Rhodobacterales; Paracoccaceae.